Drosophila pseudoobscura is the source of this 953-nucleotide long non-coding RNA. RefSeq lists it as uncharacterized. The transcript is spliced from 3 exons. The record is from RefSeq and is a predicted model, not a curated record. NCBI's taxonomy places the organism in Eukaryota, Metazoa, Arthropoda, Insecta, Diptera, Drosophilidae.
UUAAUACUCACUUUUGUAUUGAGCCUGAACAGGCUGUGGCUUUUCAUUUACUAGAAUGUGUGUAUUCAAUCGAAUGAAUUCAGUUGGUUGCUAAAUUCAAUUCCGAUCCGGUCAGGUGCGUUGUUCGGCUGAUUCUCAGAUAUUUCCACAGAGCCACCAUGUGCUGUCCAAGUCGCUAUUACCGGAACACGCCGUGCGUGCAGUGCUGUCUCAUCGACUGCAGCUACUGCUGCUUCCGAUCAGACUGUUGUGGCCCCUGCUGUGGGACCACCCACCCGCCUAGCUUGUGCGGCGGGUGCUGUGGAUCUUGCUGCUAGCAGGGCUGAAGAUGGACCACGACAACGCACCCCGACCCGGCGGACUGGCAAGCAUUCUCCAACUGGAUUUAGAAUUUAUUCUCUUUUAUGAACAGCAACAGCAACAGAACGAGUAGUAGUAGGCUUCGAAUCGAUUUGGAGCAGCUGUCCAGGUUGACGAGCUGCCGAAUAUCGGCUGGAGCUCAUUCCGACUUUGAGCCUGGUUGUGAACACAUCAAAAAAAGUUUUCAAUCUCCAAAAACCAACAUCUUUUGGAACCCUUUUUUUGUUUGUGACUUGGUCUACCUUUGACAGAACACCUGUGCUCUCUGUCGAAACCAUCCUCCAUCUCCAUCUCCUGUUCCUGCUCCUACUCCAGCUGACUACGCUCAUCAGGAUGUGCUGCAAUCCCGGUGGCAGCUGCGGUCUGCCCGCCUGUAUCCAGUGCACCAACUUCUGCUUCAACUGCUGGACCGGCACGGCGAGCGUUCCCAGCUGUCGCCCUGGCUACACACCAGCCUGUCCGCUCUAUCGCGGCUGCUGCGGUGGGCCUCGAGGCUGUUGCUAGCCACCCCCUUCGAUGUCUACGAAACUGAGAAAUCAAAUUUACCGUCUCUCAUAGAAAAUCAUCUGUGAAUAAAUCCCAACAAAACAAAU